GGAUCAGAUCAAGCGCGAGAAGGGCGUUUGGUGGAUGCCUUGGCAGUAAGAGGCGAUGAAGGACGUGAUACUCUGCGAUAAGCUUUGGGAAGUCGAGAAUAGACGCUAUACCCAAAGAUCUCCGAAUGGG
RNAcentral lists this ribosomal RNA (130 nucleotides) under uncultured marine bacterium. RNAcentral describes it as "partial 23S ribosomal RNA". It matches the Rfam family "Bacterial large subunit ribosomal RNA", at positions 1 to 122 of the family's 2925-position model. The record is from RNAcentral.